GGUCGUCGAGGUCGUUGAGGUCGACGUCGGGCACCUCCAGGGUGUCCAGGGCGGGCAGGCCCUCGGGCGGCUCGACGCCCUCGGCCAUCG
This 90-nucleotide transfer RNA is filed under the name Kocuria dechangensis. RNAcentral's name for it is "tRNA-Trp". The record is from RNAcentral. Lineage: Bacteria; Bacillati; Actinomycetota; Actinomycetes; Micrococcales; Micrococcaceae.